Molecule: ribosomal RNA, 492 nt
Filed under: uncultured bacterium
Lineage: Bacteria
Description: partial 16S ribosomal RNA
Rfam family: Bacterial small subunit ribosomal RNA
Source: RNAcentral
AGUGAACGCUGGCGGUUGGCCUAACACAUGCAAGUCGAACGGCAGCACAGUAAGAGCUUGCUCUUACGGGUGGCGAGUGGCGGACGGGUGAGGAAUACAUCGGAAUCUACUUUUUCGUGGGGGAUAACGUAGGGAAACUUACGCUAAUACCGCAUACGACCUACGGGUGAAAGCAGGGGAUCUUCGGACCUUGCGCGAUUGAAUGAGCCGAUGUCGGAUUAGCUAGUUGGCGGGGUAAAGGCCCACCAAGGCGACGAUCCGUAGCUGGUCUGAGAGGAUGAUCAGCCACACUGGAACUGAGACACGGUCCAGACUCCUACGGGAGGCAGCAGUGGGGAAUAUUGGACAAAGGGCGCAAGCCUGAUCCAGCCAUACCGCGUGGGUGAAGAGGGCCUUCGGGUUGUAAAGCCCUUUUGUUGGGAAAGAAAAGCAGCAGGUUAAUACCCCGCUGUUCUGACGGUACCCAAAGAAUAAGCACCGGCUAACUUCGUG